This 1277-nucleotide long non-coding RNA is filed under the name Lactuca sativa (garden lettuce). RNAcentral's name for it is "long non-coding RNA (LSAT_LNC009988)". The record is from RNAcentral. Lineage: Eukaryota; Viridiplantae; Streptophyta; Magnoliopsida; Asterales; Asteraceae.
UUUCAUCUCCUAUCCAAUUAAUCGGCUACCCAUCGCUCACGCAUCAAUUAUUAGAUUCCUCCAUCCACAAAUCGUCGAACUUCGCCUCUCGCUUUCUGUCAGCAUCACCGAAAACAUCAUAAGGUUAAAUCACCAUCUUCUUAUGGUUUCAGGUAAUCAUUCGGUAAAUCAGCAUUGUCUUAUUCCUAAAAUGAAUGAUCCCUUCUUGCCUAUAAGGUUCGAGGUAAUAACACUUCUAAUUAUCAUUGGAAUUUCUAAUUGUGGUAAAGCUUGAAUUAAUGAGAUAUCCAUGGAUCAAUUUCAUAUAGCUAGAGGUGGUAGUGUUUAAUUUUGAAUUUUCCUUCCUGCACACCUUGUCUUCGACAACAUGCCCCUGCUUGAGCACAAUUCAAAUCUAGAUAAUCUUAUAUGAAAUGUUGUUUUUUCUUUCAUUGGUUAAUAGAUAAUAAUACAAAUCUAAGAUUACCGACAUCGUUCAACUUCUUUUCCAAAACUUUAGGUUUGUUAAUUAUUUUUAUGUGUGUAUGAAAUGAACAGGUUAUUCAAUAAGAAUAUUGUUACACAGAUACAAAAAUAGGAAAUAUUGUUGGGUUAAUAGGAAGUUACAAGUCUUUUUUUAUAACUUCAUAGGUGAGUAAAAUAUUUCAACACUUAUUUUGUGUUUUUGUAAAUUUUGUUUUGUUUUGUUUUAUCUAUAUAAAAUAAUUUAUUCUGUGUUUUUACAAAUUUAUUUUGUUUGAUUUUGCGUUUUUAUAAAUUAAAAGGAUUGAGAUCAAGAGUGAUGAUAUAUAAAUUAGAGGCUUACAUGAACAGUACACAAUGUGAAAUUCAUUUUAAAGGAAAUGAAACAAAAGAGCUUUAAAAUGGGUUUGUUUUUGUGAAAUUUUAAAUAUAUUUUAUAGUGUAUUAUGUAAUAAUACAUUUGUAUGAAUGUAUUCUGUCAGAAUGUAUUUUUAUUUUAUAUAAAUGCAUUCUUUAAUUAUGUUGUUCUAAUUACACGCAAAUUGGUUUACUUAAUAGGGUUCUUAAAUAAGAUUAGACGAUGUGAAGUCUUUCAAUUGUUGGAAUCAAGUGAGCUUGCAAAAAUGAAUUAUCUCAAAUGCAAUGGAUUCCCAUAGAAUACCAAGUGCAUUAUGGAUUCUAGGAGAAGAUGAAGUCUAUUAUAUUAUAAUGUAUUCUGAAAUUAUUUUGAUACUAUUCUAACAUUUUUAGUUUUUUUAAUGCAUUCAAAAAUCAUUGUAUGGUAUAUUUAUAUGUACCAUAAUUGUAUAAAUAAG